Molecule: long non-coding RNA, 237 nt
Organism: Haliotis rubra (blacklip abalone)
Lineage: Eukaryota; Metazoa; Mollusca; Gastropoda; Lepetellida; Haliotidae
Exons: 3
Source: RefSeq, a predicted model, not a curated record
AGCACUACACGAGGUGACUUGGCAGCACAAAGCAUUGGGAAAUGCAUGACAACUAUGAGCGGGACCAAGACACGUUGAGCUUGGCAGAGGAGAAAUGUGAUCUUCAAAUUGCAGAAUCUGAGGGGAGUCUCAGGCAUUCCAAAGUGAGGAAGUGGAUUCAGAUGUAGUAUCUGUGAGAAAGUACUGACAUGUAAAGGUGGAUAUACUGUUCAUCAGCAGAUGACUUGAAGUCAAAAG